GCAGGUGUAGCUCAGAUGGCAAGAGCCUUGGGACGCUGGUUCGAAUCCAGCCGCCUGCGCAA
This 62-nucleotide transfer RNA is filed under the name Clostridiales bacterium. RNAcentral describes it as "tRNA-Ser". It matches the Rfam family "tRNA". From Rfam's summary of the family: Transfer RNA (tRNA) molecules are approximately 80 nucleotides in length. Lineage: Bacteria; Bacillati; Bacillota; Clostridia; Eubacteriales. The record is from RNAcentral.